This 24-nucleotide non-coding RNA is filed under the name Arabidopsis thaliana (thale cress). Lineage: Eukaryota; Viridiplantae; Streptophyta; Magnoliopsida; Brassicales; Brassicaceae. The record is from RNAcentral.
UGCAUUGAAAGUGACUACAUCGGG